RNAcentral lists this ribosomal RNA (303 nucleotides) under uncultured bacterium. Its description in RNAcentral is "partial 16S ribosomal RNA". It matches the Rfam family "Bacterial small subunit ribosomal RNA", at positions 507 to 807 of the family's 1533-position model. The record is from RNAcentral.
AGCAGUAGCCGCGGUAAUACGUAGGGUGCGAGCGUUAAUCGGAAUUACUGGGCGUAAAGCGUGCGUAGGCGGUUCGUUAAGACAGAUGUGAAAUCCCCGGGCUUAACCUGGGAACUGCAUUUGUGACUGGCGAGCUAGAGUAUGGCAGAGGGGGGUAGAAUUCCACGUGUAGCAGUGAAAUGCGUAGAGAUGUGGAGGAAUACCGAUGGCGAAGGCAGCCCCCUGGGCCAAUACUGACGCUCAUGCACGAAAGCGUGGGGAGCAAACAGGAUUAGAUACCCGGGUAGUCCCUGUCUCUUAUAC